This is a long non-coding RNA of Dalotia coriaria, 1031 nucleotides long. RefSeq lists it as uncharacterized. The transcript is spliced from 7 exons. Lineage: Eukaryota; Metazoa; Arthropoda; Insecta; Coleoptera; Staphylinidae. The record is from RefSeq and is a predicted model, not a curated record.
GACCAUUUUUGCCUCAGAUUGACUACGGUGCCCUGAACAGGAAUCACUUCUACCGCUACCUUCGUACGGUGCCCUGAACAUGAGUCACUUCUACCGCUACCUUCGUACGGUGCCUUGAACACGAGUCACAUCUACCGCUACCUUCGUAUGGUAUCCUGAUUACUUCUACUGUUACCCUCUAUGGUGCUCUGGACCCGAGUCACUUCUACUGUCACCCUCCUACGAGUAACGUGAAGGAUUUUGCACUUAAGUCCGACUUCGUAGAUGGACCAUUUUUGCAUCAGAUUGGAUUUUGCACCUGAGUCCGACUUCGUAGAUGGACCAUUUUUGCAUCAGAUUGGAUUUUGCACCUGAGUCCGACUUCGUAGAUGGACCAUUUUUCAUCAGAUUGGAUUUUGCACCUGAGUCCGACUUCGUAGAUGGACCAUUUUUGCAUCAGAUUGGAUUUUGCACCUGAGUCCGACUUCGUAGAUGGACCAUUUUUGCAUCAGAUUGUAAGUAUUAAAUUUCUUUAUCAUUUUCCUAAAUAACUUUAAUGAAUAUCCCACAAAUUGACCCUUAAAAUUGCAUUUUUAUGCUUCGAAGGACUAAUUUUUACUUGUUUUGGGGAUUUUGCAUUAUGCAUUAUGUUAAAAUUUACUUGGGUUGCAAAAUUAUUUUUGUGAGUAGUUCACUAGGCAGUCGCGAAACUUUUUGUUUGUUUACUAUUGGCUUUGUUCACCUUGUCUCUCAACAGUGUCAACUGGUGUCAACUCUCUUCUCUACUUAGUCGGCCGUGCAUUGUUGCGCGAUGCGCACGUGUUUCUGGCAUUCGGUGCUAGCUUUACAUUCGGUCGAUCGUUGACGGCGUGUGAUAAUUACGGGAUAAUGUGAUAAUUACUGCGCGUAAAACUCAGGAUUAAGAUUUGGGUGUGCGCGUGUCUUCCGACGGAUAUCUUCCGGUGAUAUUGUAUUCCCAUUGGAUUUAUUAUUUCAUGAUUUGUUAAACAGAUUUCGGCUGUGUAGUAUCUUCAGUCAUUGUUACUAUAUAA